GUCCCUGUAGAGUAAUGGAUAGCGCGUUGGACUUCUUAUCCAAAGUCGUGGUUUCGAAUCCCAUCUGGGAUG
Trichonephila inaurata madagascariensis is the source of this 72-nucleotide non-coding RNA. The record is from the annotation of a GenBank genome assembly. NCBI's taxonomy places the organism in Eukaryota, Metazoa, Arthropoda, Arachnida, Araneae, Nephilidae.